RNAcentral lists this microRNA (21 nucleotides) under Malus domestica (apple). RNAcentral's name for it is "mdm-miR11017". Lineage: Eukaryota; Viridiplantae; Streptophyta; Magnoliopsida; Rosales; Rosaceae. The record is from miRBase by way of RNAcentral.
CUCUAAUCUGCCCAACAACUU